CACAGACUCACAGUGGUUCACCGCAAGGCUCUCGCUCUUCCGAAAAUUUCAGAGCUUAUAAUUAAUUAUCUAUAGAGAAAAUAAAUAGCAAACUUUUCCCAAAAGAGCUAAUGAAAUUUUGAAGAAAAAAAAAAAAAACAUAGACACUCUCGAGAACUUUCAAAAGGCGCGUUAAUUGGGGAAUUUGUAUCUAUGUGAAAAGAAUUUUUAUUACCACCUAUAUUAUAGAAUUGUUCCUGAAAAAGUAAACUAUGUCAAGGAAAUUAAACGUGUAAAAAGCUGUCAAGCGCUCAACUCGUUCGCUUAACACUGUCCUCUUUUUCUCCGGUAAGUGGUACACGCGAAAAAUAUAGAGAAAAAAAAAAUUAAGAGACAGAAUAAGCACUCGUCAAAGGGUACGAGACAUCAGUUAUACAAUAUAAUGAGAAAAGAAUUCGAUAGAUGAUGAAAAAAAAACUCAUUCAUUAGUUAAAUCACAUCCAAUCGAGCGCGUGGCUUCAUAGUCAUCCCGCAUAUGUAACCUGAGUAGGUGUACCAUGGAUACGAAUUAUAUUAUGUUUGAUAAGAAAAAGAAAAAAUUUAUUGCAUUCCUGUUUUGGAAGAAAUGAUAAUUUUAUCGGUUAUCUCAGUUAUUGGGGGAGGUAUUCAAGUACAUAACAUGUAUAUGUAUAUACAAUAUAUUUUAGAAUGUAGACAGUCGCUGAUCCCAUUCCAAAUGCCAAAAACGACGAGUGAAAAAAACGUCGCAGAUUAUUCGUCGGUGCGAAACUGCAGCUUAAGGAGUCUGGAAAAGUAAUUAAAAAUGGCGUACACAAUACGAUAGAGAACAUACACGUAUGUAUAUGGAGGACGGUGCACUCCAUGAAGAGGUGGUUUUAUAUUUGGCUACAGCUAUUGAUGUGAUCGAAGAUCACAUCAGAUCGGAUCAGAUCGGAUGCUGUAUGCCAUGGUGCAAGAGCACCACUAUAUACUGGACACAGUUCAGCACGUGCACAGAUUAUCUGCGUGUGCCAAUCACUUAACGUGCAGGACAAACACAGGUGGGAAAUUUGCGGGGAUACGAUCGAACGAAUGCAUCGCAUUGUAUUCGUCUGUUGAAAAUCGAUCAACCGCCUUCGCAACCACUUAAUGUACGUGCAUAUCAAACACAAUUUACAUAACGCACAUAAAUAUACACCUAACGUAUACAUACAUGUACAUUUGCCAACAUCGGUAUGUAAGAAGAAAUUCGUUUCUCUACUUUUAUAUUCGUAGAAGAAUAACAUAGGUAUACAUGCGUGAUAAUUAUACCUACUGAAACUUGAGAUAAUUGGAAAGGAAUUUCAUUUUUGGUUCUCCUAUUUUAUGUCCAUUAAUAUCUUUUUUUUAGUGUUUUAUAUAUCAACUCGAUGUAUUGGUUUGCGAAAUUAAAUUUCAUUUUCUUUUCUUCUUUUUCUAUUUUUAUUCCUAUGAAACCGGCGCGACGAUUUGAAUCAAAUUUGAUCUCCGAAUUCCAAAUAUAUAACGGAAUUAUUAUCGUAUCGACUAAUAACAGUACAAUUGAGCGAGAAAAAAUUUCUCGACUUGUAAGAUUAUUCUAUUUACAUAUACCAUUUCGUGUUAAAGGUAGACGGAAAAUGGAGCCAAUGAAAGAUCUUAAAAAAAGUCGAAGGCCUGGAAAUUGAAGCUUUUCAACCCCUACGCGCGCCAAAUAUGGUACACAUUUCGGACCAUUGAUAUUAUUCUUCUAAAUUCGAAUGUCGUAUCAGAUUAAAAAUUGAAAUCGUUCGAUUGAUUCUAACGGUAAACGUAUGCGUAUUAUACAAUAAUUUUGAUAUUCCAUGUGUGCCGCGUGUACAGCUGAAUAACAUGUCACGUAUGAUGUACAUAUGCUUGUAUGUAUUUUAUUUAUAUAUUGGUGUUCCACGUGAAUACCGAAGGUCCAUUGGGUUGGAAGUUGUAAGACAAUACCUCGAGGCUCGGGAGGGACGUGGGCGGUAUCGGAUCCGAAUUAAGAAUUUGAUCCUCAUUCAUUCCACAUAUAUAUACGUAUCCUACACGAGCAACGGCAACAGCAAAAGCAACAGCAGCCAUCAGUUAGAACCAGUUGACCAGCGUGUCUUAUAUCUGUAAAAAUAGAAGGUGGAGGUGGCGCUGGACGGUGUGGCUGACUUCCUCUUCCUGUUCGCAUCGGAACUACAGUCAGGUGUCAGAAAACAGGCGCUGAGCUCCGGUCCCAAAACCGAACCCCGAACGAGCCUGAGCUCUCCUCUGUCAGCUCACGCUACAUAAUACCUACUCAACCAGCUCUUCCGAUAGGCCAUACACAGGUGUGUGUAUAUUGGCAAAACGGAAACUGAAAUUAUCAUGCUACACAAAUUUUUUAUUAACAAAAUUGAUCAGCUUUCAUUCAGAGAGGGUUUGUGAAACAGGGGGAUGUCUUUUCAAAAAUCUUGGUACCACAUGAUAUCUAAGGACAGGACAGAGAUACUUCCUCUCGAAUUGUCGAGGAGAGAUAAUUUUUAGAUAUAUCCAAACUUUCUUCUAUCUUCCAACGUGUGUUGGCAGAUAUUUGAAAUUGUAAAAUUCGAAAUGGCACAUCCGAUACAGUAGGGGUGUAGUUCGAAACGAAAAUUAUCCGCAUGAAAUUCUUAAUGGAAUGUAGAGUAUGUAGAAUUUUGUAUAAAUUCAUUAAUUAUACAUCACUUUUUGAGU
Molecule: long non-coding RNA, 2694 nt
Organism: Athalia rosae (coleseed sawfly)
Lineage: Eukaryota; Metazoa; Arthropoda; Insecta; Hymenoptera; Athaliidae
Exons: 3
Source: RefSeq, a predicted model, not a curated record